RNAcentral lists this ribosomal RNA (372 nucleotides) under uncultured organism. Its description in RNAcentral is "bacterial SSU rRNA". It matches the Rfam family "Bacterial small subunit ribosomal RNA", at positions 526 to 896 of the family's 1533-position model. The record is from RNAcentral.
CGUAGGUGGCAAGCGUUGUCCGGAUUUACUGGGCGUAAAGGGCGUGCAGGCGGUUUGUUAAGUGCAGGGUGAAAGCUCCCGGCUCAACUGGGAGAGGUCCUUGCAUACUGGCAAACUCGAGGGAGGCAGAGGAAAGUGGAAUUCCCGGUGUAGUGGUGAUAUGCGUAGAUAUCGGGAGGAACACCUGUGGCGAAGGCGGCUUUCUGGGCCUUACCUGACGCUGAGACGCGAAAGCGUGGGGAGCGAACCGGAUUAGAUACCCGGGUAGUCCACGCCGUAAACUAUGGACACUAGGUGUGGGGGGUAUCGACCCCCUCCGUGCCGAAGCUAACGCAAUAAGUGUCCCGCCUGGGGAGUACGGCCGCAAGGCUA